GGCUGGCCUGAGCGCCGUGGUGUUUACAACUGAUUGAUCACGACCAGUUACAGAGUCCUUUGUUCCUUCUCCACUCCCACUGCUCCACUUGACUAGCCUUAA
This 102-nucleotide Y RNA is filed under the name Propithecus coquereli (Coquerel's sifaka). RNAcentral describes it as "Y RNA (ENSPCOG00000005807.1)". It matches the Rfam family "Y RNA". From Rfam's summary of the family: Y RNAs are components of the Ro ribonucleoprotein particle (Ro RNP), in association with Ro60 and La proteins. The record is from Rfam by way of RNAcentral. Lineage: Eukaryota; Metazoa; Chordata; Mammalia; Primates; Indriidae.